Phrynosoma platyrhinos (Desert horned lizard) is the source of this 72-nucleotide non-coding RNA. Lineage: Eukaryota; Metazoa; Chordata; Lepidosauria; Squamata; Phrynosomatidae. The record is from the annotation of a GenBank genome assembly.
GCCAGCAUGGUGUAGUGGUUUGAGCAUUGGACUAUAACUCUGGACACCAGGGUUCAAAUCCCUGCUCAUCCA